This 351-nucleotide ribosomal RNA is filed under the name Phelsuma quadriocellata. RNAcentral's name for it is "partial 12S ribosomal RNA". It matches the Rfam family "Bacterial small subunit ribosomal RNA", at positions 878 to 1394 of the family's 1533-position model. Lineage: Eukaryota; Metazoa; Chordata; Lepidosauria; Squamata; Gekkonidae. The record is from RNAcentral.
AACUACAAGCGAAAGCACAAAAUUCAAAGGACUUGACGGUGUACCAUAUCAACCUAGAGGAGCCUGUCCUAUAAUCGAUAAUCCACGUUUUACCUCACCCACUUUUGCACUACCAGCCUGUAUACCGCCGUCGCCAGCCCAUCUAAUGAUAGAAUAAAAAUGGACAAAAUUGUACUACUACAAAAACGUCAGGUCAAGGUGCAGCUAAUAAGUGGGCUGAGAUGGGCUACAUUUUUUAAACUAAAAAACUACUACAAGCAACAUGAAACACGAGCUAUUAAGGUGGAUUUAGCAGUAAAUAUGUGCAAGAAUGCCAUAUUGAAACCUGUUCUGGAACGCGUACACACCGCC